GCAUAUCAAUAAGCGGAGGAAAAGAAACUAACUAGGAUUCCCUUAGUAACGGCGAGUGAACCGGGAUGAGCUCAAAUUUAAAAUCUGGCGUCUUUCAGGCGUCCGAGUUGUAAUCUAUAGAGGCGUUUUCCGCGCCGGACCGCGUCCAAGUCUCUUGGAAUAGAGUAUCAAAGAGGGUGACAAUCCCGUACUUGACGCGACAACCGGUGCUCUGUGAUACGUUCUCAAUGAGUCGAGUUGUUUGGGAAUGCAGCUCUAAAUGGGUGGUAAAUUCCAUCUAAGGCUAAAUAUUGGCGAGAGACCGAUAGCGAACAAGUACCGUGAGGGAAAGAUGAAAAGCACUUUGGAAAGAGAGUUAAACAGCACGUGAAAUUGUUAAAAGGGAAACGAUUGAAGUCAGUCGUGUGAAAGGUAUUCAGCCGUCUCUGGCGGUGUAUUUGCCUUUCACGGGUCAACAUCAGUUUGAUCCGGUAGAAAAAGGCGGGAGGAAGGUGGCACCCUCGGGUGUGUUAUAGCCUCCUGUCAUAUGUGCCGGACCAGACUGAGGAACGCAGCUUGCCGCAAGGCCGGGGUUCGCCCACGUACAAGCUUAGGAUGCUGACAUAAUGGCUUUAAACGACCCGUCUUGAAACACGGACC
This 639-nucleotide ribosomal RNA is filed under the name Vishniacozyma victoriae. RNAcentral's name for it is "eukaryotic LSU rRNA". It matches the Rfam family "Eukaryotic large subunit ribosomal RNA", at positions 38 to 667 of the family's 3401-position model. Lineage: Eukaryota; Fungi; Basidiomycota; Tremellomycetes; Tremellales; Bulleribasidiaceae. The record is from RNAcentral.